AGGGUUUGAUCAUGGCUCAGGAUAAACGCUGGCGGCGUGCCUAAUACAUGCAAGUCGAGCGAGGUAUUCAGCAAUGGAUACCGAGCGGCGAACGGGUGAGUAACACGUUGGGAACCUACCCCCCUGAUCGGAAUACCCAAGGGAAACUUUGGUUAAUGCCGAAUACGUGGUUCUGGGAUAACCUGGAGUCAUAAAAGGCGGCCUUAAAGCCGCGCAGAGGGAUGGACCUGCGGCGCAUUAGCUAGUAGGUGAGAUAAUAGCCCACCUAGGCGAGGAUGCGUAGCCGACCUGAGAGGGUGAACGGCCACACUGGAACUGAGACACGGUCCAG
RNAcentral lists this ribosomal RNA (331 nucleotides) under uncultured bacterium. Its description in RNAcentral is "bacterial SSU rRNA". It matches the Rfam family "Bacterial small subunit ribosomal RNA", at positions 8 to 334 of the family's 1533-position model. The record is from RNAcentral.